UACGUAGGGUGCGAGCGUUAAUCGGAAUUACUGGGCGUAAAGGGUGCGCAGGCGGCCGCGCAAGUCGAGUGUGAAAGCCCCGAGCUUAACUUGGGAAUUGCGCUCGAAACUACGUGGCUGGAGUGUGGCAGAGGAAGGUGGAAUUCCACGUGUAGCGGUGAAAUGCGUAGAGAUGUGGAGGAGCACCGAUGGCGAAGGCAGCCUUCUGGGCCAACACUGACGCUCAUGCACGAAAGCGUGGGGAGCAAACAGG
This 253-nucleotide ribosomal RNA is filed under the name uncultured bacterium. Its description in RNAcentral is "partial 16S ribosomal RNA". It matches the Rfam family "Bacterial small subunit ribosomal RNA", at positions 524 to 776 of the family's 1533-position model. The record is from RNAcentral.